Myotis davidii is the source of this 132-nucleotide non-coding RNA. Lineage: Eukaryota; Metazoa; Chordata; Mammalia; Chiroptera; Vespertilionidae. The record is from Rfam.
CUGCAAGCCUCCAGCAUGCUGGGGUCUGGGGUGGUCCUGUGCAUCCCUGCCGUGCUUGCGAGAACAUUGUGGAACUGUUUGAGGCCUUGCUCUGCUGCGUCUGGAGCAAGGUUAUAGAAGUUUCAGACAUUG